GUGUAACACUCACCGGCGAGGUUUGUAGCUUCACUCCUGAGCCAGUGAGACCACGAAUCCACCAGCAGGAAAAAAAGAUUCCAAACAUGUCUGAAUGUCAGAAGAAACAAUUUCCAAACACACUGCCUUUAAGAACUGUAACACUCCCUGUGAGGGUCUAUGGCUUCAUUCUUUAAGUCAGUGAGACUAAGACGCCACCAAUUCGGGGCACAUUGGGACUAUAGUUACUGCCACCAUGCACAUCUAAACAACGUUCUGGAAUAUCUUCUUGCUUUGGUCAACCACCAGGCAUGGGAAAAUGGCUUCAUCGGUUGUCUUUCCACAAACAAGAUUCUAACUCAAAUAGCUCAAAGGACACCUUCUCCGGGAAACCUUCCCUGACUUCCGACGCUGUUUCCUGUUACCCAUGAUGUACAUUAGAACACAGCAACUAUUUGAGUGAAAUAAGUAUUUUUAUUUAUUUCAAGAGGAAAGCAAAGUCGAAGGGUGUUCAGUGCAGAGCCAGGAGAGGACACUAUUGGAAAACAGAGAUGUGAGAAAACCCUAAAACAUGGUGUACUCAUGCCUGAACUUAGCCUGUCUUUCACAGCAAGGCUCAUCAUUUCUGGGUUUACUACAGAACCUCACCGUGUACAGCAGGCCUCCUAUAGAAAGGCUACAGUUUUGCUUGACCAGAUGUUGCCAAGUUUCAAAGUCAAAUCGGUUCAUCUCCUGGCUAUCAGCUAAAGGGUGUUGUAUUUGUAAGCAUUGAGAACUUCUAUCUACUGCUAUUGUAUUUUGCAUAUUUGUAUUUUCUGAGUUCUAUUUGAGAGAGACGGAAUUACGCAUUUCCAUAUGGAUCAUCCUCUUCCCUAUGUAUGUUGCUUUAUUGCCUUUUGGAAGAAAAAAAGUGAGAGUUGCAGUCUGUAUUUAGGCCAUUUCUAUGUUCUUUAUUGGGUUACGUUUGAAUGCCCAAUUUGAUCUCAAUGGCACGUCCUUUGUAACAUAAAAUAAAACAUGGUGCUCAGGAAAAGUAACGACACACACAUCCAGGCCCUUUCAUAGCAGUUGGUAAAGCUUAAGCCUUGCCUCUCUGUGUGGUAGUUUCCCUUCCCUUUCUUUUCGUUCCCUGUGACAAGCAGCCAUUGUCCCCUUGGUGAGAUCUGCAAUAUUACUUUGACCCCAGCCCAUCAAUCUGCCUCAAUUGGAUAAUGAUCUGUAAUCACGUUCUUUCAGGGGAGUCUAUAAAUUUGCCAAGGCCCCAUUCUCUUCUGAAGGACUCCUUAUGUUCACUCCCAUUUGUGCAAAUGUGCUCUCUUUUACAGGGCUAAAUAGCCAUGCACAUGGUCCAUUCUGUGAGGAGGCACCGGGCGGUUCUCUGUUGAUUUUCCACGCUCUAGUCUCUUAAAGGAGACUAAGGCUGACAUGCAGGGACACAGUGGGGGGGUGGCCCGAGCCAGGCCACAUCACAGGCAGCCGCUUUUCUCAUUAAGACUGACCCAUCAUUAGGUCACUUUGUGCCAUCCUUGUAAUCAAUGAGCUUAAUGUUUAGUGCAAAAAAAAAAAAA
Homo sapiens (human) is the source of this 1547-nucleotide long non-coding RNA. Ensembl annotates it as hepatocellular carcinoma up-regulated long non-coding RNA. Its record names the gene HULC. Lineage: Eukaryota; Metazoa; Chordata; Mammalia; Primates; Hominidae. The record is from Ensembl.